Callithrix jacchus (white-tufted-ear marmoset) is the source of this 7725-nucleotide non-coding RNA. The record is from RefSeq and is a predicted model, not a curated record. NCBI's taxonomy places the organism in Eukaryota, Metazoa, Chordata, Mammalia, Primates, Cebidae.
CAGAGUGUUUUCUCACCACGGCUUGCAGGUAGUCAGCACAUAAACAUGGUUUUUAGUUUUUUAAAAAUCCACUUCAGGGAUUUGUAACAAGCAUUGAAUAAGAUCAUGUAUACAGAGUGUUUUCUCACCACGCCUUGCAGGUAGUCAGCACAUAAACAUGGUUUUUAGUUUUGUAUAGUCCCCGUCCAUGAAUCACACCCAGAAAAGGUAUGUUGUUCACACCAAGAGCUCUGGCCCGCGGACCUUUGUCCACUUGGUGGUAAUUCAUUGGACUCUCAGGUUUAGAAUGAGGAAAUACCAGCCUUCAAAGCCCCAGGCCUGCUAUGAAAUAGCAAAGCCAAUGGUCCCAGAUGCCUUCAUAGCACACCUAGUAAGUAGGACACUUUUCACUCACCUUGUGGGCACGCUUGAGUCCAUGCACUCAUUUUUCAUUCAUUUCUUAUAUGCCGUGUAUUGGGUACUCGGGAUCCAUAAUACAGUGGACCCACAAUUGACUGGAAGCAUCGCUUUCAAAGCAUCAUUUCAGGAUGAGUAUUUCGUGUCAAGUGGAUUCAAGGAACAGUGCGAAGGAUCCAUGGCCUCAGUCACCAUGAAGAGCCUCCCAAGAGCCAACCUUCCUGGGCACAUGUGAGUGGAGACAUGGAACUCACCCUUACAAGGCCUAGAACCUGACAGAUCAUACAAGACAGAAGCCCAGAUAACUAAGAAGGGGACGCUGAAGGUGAGAGUCCCCUUGUGGAUCACCCAUGGGGAAUUGUCUAUGCCCCAGCGCUGGCCCCAGUUGUGCCUGCUGUGAGCCUCGUGGCCAGUCUGUGGCAUCUACCACUCCAGAGCCUGCCGUGUUACAUCCUGGAGUGGUGGAGGUGCAGGACGCGCGGCCCGGAAAAUCAAAGAGGCGCAAAGGUUUGGCUGGCCGUGCCAGGAACUGGGUAGCAAAGAGGAGGCGCAAGAAAAUUUGCCGCAGUGAAAAUGAAGCUCCCGUUCAAGACCCGGAGGAGGAGACGUCACCUGAGAUAGAGCUGCUGCAGGAGGAGAACCGGCAGAAGCUGGGCCUGAGCACCAACCUCAAGCAGGUGGAGGAUGAGAAGAAUUCCUUCUGGGAACAGCUGGAGAAGGAGAAGGAGGCCACGCACAACCUUGAGAAGCAGAUUGCCACCCUCCAUGCCCAGGUGGCCGACAUGACGAAGAUUGAGGACAGUGUGGGGUGCCUGGAAACCUCAGAGGAGGUGAAGAGGCAGCUCCGGAAGGACCUGAAGGGCCUGAGCCAGGGGCACAAGGACAAGCUGGAGAAUACCAAGACAUGUCUGCAGCAGGAGCUGGACGACCUGCUUGUGGACCUGGACAACCAGCGCCACAUGGUGUGCCACCUGGAGGAGAAGCAGAAGAAGUUUGACCAGCUCCUGGCAGAGCAGAAGACCAUCUCUGCCAAGUAUGCAGAGGAGCGUGACCGGGCCAAGGCCGAGGCCCGAGAGAAGGAGACCAAGGUGCUGUUGCUGGCCCGGGCCCUGGAGGAAGCCAUGGAGAAGAAGACGGAGCUGGAGCAGCUCAACAAGCAGAUCCGCAUUGAAAUAGAGCACUUCCUGAGCUCCAAGGGCAAGAGCGUUUAUGAGCUGAAGUCCAAGUGGGCUCUGGAGCAGCAGGUGGAGGAGAUGAAGAUCGCCCUGGAGGAGAUGGAGGAUGAGCUGCAGGACACUGAAAAUGCCAAUCUGCAGCUGGAGGUCAACCUGCAGGCCAUGAAGAUCCAGUUCGAGCAGGACCUGCAGGGCCGGGACGAGCAGAGUGAGGAGAAGGUGCAGCAGCUGGUCACACAGGUGUGGGACAUAAAGGCAGAGCUGGAGGAUGAGAGGAAGAGUCACUCCAUGUCAGUGGCCGCCUGGAAGAAGCUGGGGAUUGACCUGGAGGCGCGCAUCGACUCGGCCAACAAGAACCAGGAUGAAGCCGUCGAGCAGAUGCGGAAGUGGCGGGCCCAGGUUAAACACUGCAUGCGUGAGCUGGACGACACCCGCGCCUCUCGCGAGGAGAUCCUGGCCCAGGCCAAAGAGAAUGAGAGGAACCUGAAGAGUGUGGAGGCCGAGAUGAUCCACUUGCACGAGGAACUGGCAGCCACGGAGCGUGCCAAGCGCCAGGCCCAGCAGGAGCGGGACGACCUGCUCGUGGACCUGGACCACCAGCGCCAGAUAGUGUGCCACCUACAGAAGAACCAGAAGAAGUUUGACCAGCUCCUGGCAGAGGAGAAGACCAUCUCUGCCAAGUAUGCAGAGGAGCGUGACCGGGCCGAGGCCGAGGCCCGAGAGAAGGAGACCAAGGUGCUGUCGCUGGCCCGGGCCCUGAAGGAAGCCAUGGAGCAGAAAGUAGAGCCGGAGCGGCUCAACAAGCAGUUCCGCGUGGAGAUGGACCUCAUGAGCUCCAAGGGCAAGAGCAUCCAUGAGCUGAAGUCCAGGCGGCUUCUGGAGCAGCAGGUGGAGGAGUUGAAGACCCAGCUGGAGGAGCUGGAGGAUGAGCUGCAGGACACUGAAAACGCCAAUCUGCGGCUGGAGGUCAACCUGCAGGCCAUGAAGAUCCAGUUCGAGCGGGACCUGCAGGGCCGGGACGAGCAGAGUGAGGAGAAGCAGCAGCAGCUGGUCAGACAGGUGCGGGAGAUGGAGGCAGAGCUGGAGGACGAGAGGAAGCGGCACUCCACGGCAGCGGCAGCCCGGAAGAAGCUGGAGAUUGACCUGGAGGCGUGCAUCGACUCGGCCAACAAGAACUGGGAUGAAGUCAUCGAGCAGCUGUGGAAGUGGCGGGGCCUCCAAGGAGCAGCCUCUGAAGUUCAAGUUCUACGUUAUCCUCUGGCAGCAGAACUCAAACGGGGCCGUCUCGUGUCCACCACACGCCCUGCUGCUGGAACCGCCCACUGGGGUUCACAGAGCUGCAAUGCACUCCUGUCUCCUUCUGAGGACAGACGCUUUCACGAGAACAUCUCGCCUUCCUCUGACACUUGCAUCUUCAGAUUGAACAAUGCUUUAUGGGAGCUGCCCAGAAGCCAGGGCCCCAUGGGGACUUCCGCUUUCCUGAUGGGAAGCCCCAGAUAGCAAGUUGUUAUGAGGUGCUGUGCUGGUUGCUCACUAACUAGGACUUGGAAGGCACAGAAGCAGGAGAAGAAGGCUGGGCUGAACAGGCUCCUGGCAUGAGCUCGCUCACCAUGGCACAGCUCCCCGCACAGCCGCCACUCAUGGCUCUCCACUCUGCCCAGAGGAACAGUGGUGGGGGGAGGGGGGAGUGUUCCCACUGCAUGGACGCCCCCAGAUACACAAUAUUUAGCCGAUUUGAGCCUGGGGGUGCUCACGCUCUGACUCCCCAAGUCCUGCAUGGUGUCUCCCCUUCCUGGCACUCCCUCCCAGUAUGUGGAGACACAUCGGGUCUCCCCACUAGCUUGUGCUCCCAUCCUCCCACCACUCCCCAGUUCUAGUGUUUUCUUCUAAACAGAGACAGCAAAAGUGAAAACGAACCAGCAGAGUAGAAGCAAGCUCCUGGUAAAGGCAGAGCAACUCAAAGAAGUCCAGGCUUCACAUAAACCCUGCGGCUAAAAAGGCAAAGUGAAGCACAACCACCACCGGCUCCCAGGAGAGCAGUGAACUGGCCAAUACACUAGUGUGGCUGCUGCAUCUCAGGAGUCCUGCAGGUGGUUUGAAGAAGUCAGCUGGGAAGGAGACGGAGGACUGCAGCUCCCUGGGGAACUCUUCCUGAAUGGCGUCGAACCGUGGCACUGUGGCUCCCGUGAAGUUCAACUUGUCAAAGAUGUCGACGGCAAGAACUGGGGGGAUACUUCCUUUAAUCAGACAUAACCCCCACAGCUACCUUGAAUCCUUGUUUUCUUUUUUUUUUUGAGAUGGAGUUUAGCUCUUGUCACUCAGGCUGGAGUGCAAUGGCGCGAUCUCGGCUCACCGCAACCUCCGCCUCCUGGGUUCAGGCAAUUCUCCUGCCUCAGCCUCCUGAGUAGCUGGGAUUACAGGCACGCGCCACCAUGCUUAGCUAAUUUUUAAAAUAUUUUUAGUAGAGACGGGGUUUCACCAUGUUGACCAGGAUGAUCUUGAUCUCUUGACCUCAUGAUCCACCCACCUCGGCCUCCCAAAGUGCUGGGAUUACAGGUGUGAGCCACCGUGCCCGGCCACUGUUUUCAAAAUGACUACAACUGUUACACUGAUUGGCUGGCCUUAUUUAUUUAAUUUUUUUAAUUAGUAUUUUUUUGAGAUGGAGUUUCACGCUGUCUCCCCGGCUGGAGUGCAGCAGCGUGAUCUUGGCUAACUGCAACCUCUGCCUCCCAGCUUCAACCACUUCUCCUGUCUCAGCCUCCCGAGUACUGGGAUUACACGUGUGCACCAUCACGCCUGGCUGAUUUUUUGUAUUUUUGGUAGAGAUGGCAUUUCGCCAUGUUGGCCAGGCUGGUCGCAAACUCCUGACCUCAAGUGAUCCACCUGCCUCAGUCUCCCAAAGUGCUGGGAUUACAGGCGUGAGCCACUGUGCCCGGCCUAUUUAUUUAUAUUUAUAUUUAUAUUUUGAGACCAGGUCUCACUCUCUCACCCAGGAUGGAGUGCAGUGGUGCAAUCUCAGCUCACUGUAGCCUCAAUCUCCUGGGCUCAAACAAUCCUCCCACCUCAGCCUCCUGAGUAGCUGGGAAUACAAGAGAAUGCCACCACACCUGGCUAAUUUAUUUAUUUAUUUAAUAGAGAAGGGGUCUCACUACAGUUCCCAGGCUGGUCUCGAACUCCUGGGCUCAAGCAGUCUGCCCACCUUGGCCUCCCACACUGCCAAAAUUACAGGGGUAAAGUACCAUGCCUGGUUGACUGACCAUCUUUAGAACAGAAUCGAUUUCCAGCUUCCUGCACCCCACGUGUACCUACACCUGUCUGCAGUGAGCCUGGAGGGAGGCAGAACCCUUGACACCCACCCUUCUAGAGCCUCACUCCUGAGGGUCUGGAGGACCAGCCGGCUGGACACCCAAGAUCAUGGCCCAACAUCUCCCAAGCCUGGGACCUGGCCCCUGGGAGCAAUGGGUGAGUCACUGCAGACUGUCUUCCAAAGACUCCAUUCACAGAUGAGGAAACAGGCCUAGCUGCUGAUUUUUUUUUUUUGAAAGUUUCCUGUCACCCAGGCUGGAGUGCAGUUGCCCGAUCUUGGCUCACCGCAACCUCUGCCUCCCAGGUUCAAGUGAUUCUUGUGCCUCAGCCUCCAGCAUAGCUAGGACUACAGGCAUGCACCAUGAUGGCUGGUUACUUUUUCUAUUUUUAGUAGAGAUGGGGUUUCACUAUGUUGGCCAGGCUGGGUCAUAGGAUUUACCACAUGACCCAGCAAGCCCACUUCUGGCUCUACACCCAAAAGACUAAAAGCAAGGACCCAGAUAUUUGCACACCCACAUUCACAACAGCACCAUUCACACAGGCCAAAAGGUGGACGUGACCCAGGCAUCCAUCAACAGAUGAGCUGACUCCUGAAUUCACAUGAUCUGCCUGUCUUGGCCUCCCAGAAUACUGGAGUUACAGGCAUGAGACACUGUGCCCGACCCCUAAAUUGUUUUUCUAAGAGUGUGGCUAAGCAUGGCCGGGAGCCCACCUGCUACACCCAUGGGCCCAGCUCCUGGGUAGAGCCCCGAUGAUCGUGGGGUUCCACCCCCCACGCAGCCAGCGCCUUACUCAUGUUGGCGGUGACAAUGACGAAGGGCCGCAGGUACGUCCGCCGCAUGUUGCGUGCCACAUUGCUGAAGUAGCCCUCGAGGUGCUGAAGCAGCUGUGCCGUGCCACCCUGGCUCCGCUGGAUCUGCUCCCACGCUGUGCUGGUGGCUGAAGCCAGGAGGGCGCUGCCCGAGUAGAUGACGCCCUGGUCAGACAGACAGCGCUCAGUGCUCCACCAGCGGAGAAAGGCCUGGCUCUCGGGACCAAGGGACACCAGCCCUGAAAGCCUUUGCUCAUCUAGUGGGCUCAUUCAUUCAUUCCGGCCCCGCACUUUAGACUGUGCGCUUUAACAUGAGUUUACAAUUUUUUUUUUUUUUUUUUUUGAGAUGGAAUCUCAUUCUGUCGCCCAGGCUGGAAUGCAGUGGUGUGAUCUCGGCUCACUACAACCUCUGCCUCCUGGGUUCAAGCAAUUCUCCUGCCUCAGCCUCCUAAGUAUCUGGGAUUACAGGCAUGUGCCACCACACCUGGCUAAUUUUUGUAUUUUUAGUAGACACAGGCUUUCACCAUGUUGUUCAGGCCGGUCUCAAACUCUCGACCUCAAGUGAUCCACCUGCCUUGGCCUCCCAAAGUGCUGGGAUUACAGACAUGAGCCAACACACCCGGCUAGUUUUUGUGUUUUUAGUAAAGAUGGGCUUUCACCAUGUUUACCAGGCUGGUCUUGAACUCCUGACCUCAGGUUGGUCUACCCACCUCGGCCUCCCAAAGUGCUGGGAUUACAGGCGUGAGCCACUGAGCCUGGCCUAGUUUCCAAUUUUUUUUUUAAGUUUCCCAUCUUAAGAGGAAUAGAUGGUAUAUUUUUAUAUAGCUCACAAAGUAAAAAUCCAGAGAAUUCAAGAUGCUUCAUAUUUUUGGCCUUAUUAGAUUUAUAAGCACUGUUUAAAUGCUUGGAAGAUCUGUUUGCUAGCCAAACUGAAAUACGAAAAGAAAAAUCAAAUAUCUGACAUAUGAUUCCAUUUAAAAUACGUAAGGAAAUUUGAUGGUCUCAGUUUAUAAAUAGGAUCAAACAUUAAUCAAAGUUGAAUUCAAAGAGAUAAGAAGUAUUUUUUAAUGUGUGAUUUCCAUACAUCCCGAACCCCACCACAUAAACUAGAGAGACUGUGGGUGAUUCGCUGCCAGAGGCCCGAACUGUCAGAGUGAGCCCUGCCACAGGUUUUCUCCACAUAUACCCCAAGAUGCUAAGGUGAAGACAUGUGGAGACGUCCCUGGUUUUAUCAGAACUCCUCCCAAACCCCACUGAGGCCACUGUGGACACACAGGCAGCUCCUCCAAGGGUGACCCUCUGCCUCUGUGCACCUCGGGGUCUCUGAAUGACUGGGUGGAGGUGUGGGGCCAUGUUCAGGGGUUUGGGGACCACACCCAAGGUAGAAACCAGAGCUGGGCACAGUGGCUUACACCUGUAAUCCCAGAACUUUGGGAGGCUGAGGCAGGUGGAUUACCUGAAAUCAGGAGUUUGAGACCAGCCUGGCUAACAUGGUGAAAACCUGUCUCUACUAAAAAUACAAAAAAUUAGCCAAGUAUAGUGGUAGGUGCCUGUAAUCCCAGCUACUGGAAAGGCAGAGGCAGGAGAAUUGCUUGAACCCAGGAGGUGGAGGCUGCAGUAAGCUGAGAUCACGCCACUGCACUGCAGCCUGGGCAAUAGAGCAAGACCCCAUCUCAAAAAAAAAAAAAAAAAAAACCGGGAGGGAACUUGUUUGUAGAGUCACACAUGGAGAACAAAUGCCACUGGCCCAACUCUCAGGCUGGGACUCAAAUCCCAGCGAGAGGACCCUGCCUUGUCUCUGGGAGCCUUGUGCACACCUGAAGCUCUCAUGGGGGGCCCUGCAUGGACUGGAAGCCCUGUGUGGGGCCUGCAUGGAUGAGGAGGUCCCUGAGGGCUCCCUGUGGAUGGGGUGAGGAAUGGGGCAUCCCCCACGGGCUCUGUGUGGACAGGCCCUCCUCUGGGGGUCCCGCAUGGGUGAAGAGACCUGCCCAGAAGCCACAGGAAACUUCUGGAGCCUCCAAGAGCCGUUUCCAAACA